AACUCCACGCCCGCACGACCUUUCGCCCGCUUCUCCUCCUCCCAACCGACGCCAGCGCCGACCCUCCGCCGCCCACCGCGCCGGCCUCCUCGCCGCCCCCAAGAAUGACGCCGCCUAGACGCACGCUGCUCCUUUCCCUUCCCAAGCCGCCCUGGAUCUCGCGAUGGAGGUGGCCGCCGUCGUGGCCAUGGAGGUCUCGCCAGCCGCCUUCGAAGUCAUACAUCCCCGAUAUCGAUGGGAUUCCAGCCGCCUGGCCAAGGUCGUCGGCCCUCGACGAGCUCCUCCAUCACUUCUGGUUCCCCAUAGUGGCUACGGGCCGCCUCUCCCUCUCCAUCCUACGCUCCUCCUUCUCCACUUCAGAUUUCGGCUGAAGAUCGCCUCUCCCUAUUCCCCCUUCCAAUCGAUUGGAGCACAGGCGGAGAGCCUGGUUUUGUGCGGCGGAGAUGGCGCCCCGCCUCUGCGCCUCAUAAGGCUGGACGUAACUCCGCCGAGGCCAUGACCUCUCCAGGUAUCGAUCUAAAACAGCGGAGGAUCACAUGUGUACUGCCUGCAGUUUCAAUUUAACAGGGCAGUUGCCAUCAUCGUGAGACUUGCCAACUUCAGGAACUACAACGACUCUUUGUUCCAGCCAUAUCCGAUCCACCGGGCCGGAGCUUUCACGUACCUACAACGCACGGUGCUCGUAGCGCGCUGUUGGCGCCGGCCUCGUUGCCCCACUCCCGGAACCCCUCAAGCAGCUCAUGCUCGUUUGGUCGUGCAGGACGAUGCUGUAGCACUAUCGUUGGAUGUGAAUUGCAUCAAAACCGGAAGCAGCGUGCGCACUGGUGUGGCGUGUUUCCUCCUUUGCUACACUUUGAUUGACUGAUGGUUAGAUGGUUGAUGUUGCAGUCUGAUGAGGCCUAGGGGUGUGGCUUCUGCUGAAAUUUUUUACACCACCAGCUCCUGGUGAGUUUGCUAACCUGAGUCAUUAUAGAGGAAGUGAGAAUGUCAGAAGGGAGAAGAAGGAAAAACCUUGCUGCCGGAGAUGACAUCCACACCAUUUUGUGUGUGUUGGUGGAGUGAUUGAACCAUGGCAAUCAGAGCUGACAUCACAUCUCCUUCCUCAUACACACUUUUUGGGUAGUUGUGCAUCUAUAUUCCAUUCUGCACACCAAGAGAUUAUGUUAUUUUUCUUUUACUGGAGCAGUUACGAUUUAGUAGUACAUCGUUAUCAUUCUCAACAAAUUCUUACAUGACACCUUUGAUACUCAUGUAUAAGAAAGAACUUUCAGCGAUUAAGUUACUUUAUUCGACUUUAUGUUUUUCAGGAGGGGAGGCCGGGAGGCGGGACAGCCGGCAGCGGCGCCAUUCUGUUCGGGGAUGCUUGGAUCUGGUGAUGCUGGAGCAUGGGAACGGGAAACAUCACCUCAGCUACGGAAUUUCAAAUAGCCAAUUUACCUUUCUCCCUAAAGAUUUCUUACACUGCUGUCAGUAUCAUUGGUCUUGGGGUCUAGAUUUUGUCAAUAUCAAAAUCUGGGUACUUACCAGCAAACGAGUUGUUGAUCUAUUUACUUAGUCAAGUUCAUUUCUGCUAUGUUCUUCAGUCAAGCUUUAGAUUCUAGCCUUGAUUAAAUAGCAAUGAUAUUGUCCAAAACCUGCUAAUGUCAGAAAUCCUACUGCCCAACAGGAUUUCUAGAAUUCUGGUGGAUCUGGUUUCUAUAACAUGGUUUGCCAACCGCGGUGAGCACUGCUCAGUGUGUGGCAGCUUUUCAUUAGGAUUGGAGACAAGAUUUGGGAUGUAGGUGUAGGUCAAAUUUUGCAAAAAUUAUGGGUCUGCAGGUACAAAGUUACAUGCAGGAAAUUUUACAAUUUUCUGAGAGUAAAAAUUCAAGCUUGAAUUUGAAUAUAGUUCCAUGAUUUUUUUUGCUGACAAGUUAUCUUAUAUUUACUUCUCUUUCUAUGGUAUAAGAAUUUAUAUGCCUACUUAACCGUUCAAGGAUAUCCAUUUUGUUUGUCGAUUGGAAGUUACCACAUAUAAGCUUGAGUCCAUGUGAACUGACACACAGUUUGGAACAAAAUAAAACUUAGUGCUGUAGUACAGUUUGGUGGUUAAACUACUCCUUACCUCGACAUUCUAAUUGGCAUUGGUCAUGCAAGACCGCUUGCAUGAAAUUAGUGGCUUGCUGCAGUUGUACUCUUCAAAAAUUCUGUUGCUUCGGUUAACUAGGAGUCGAGAACUACAAUUCCCCAAAAGAUCAUAUAUGCUUGAUGUGUGUGAACAUAUUGCAGGCAGGCGGUUCCAAUGAUGGCUCAGUUCCUGUACAGCUUCACCGAGAGGCAUAUGUUGUAUGAGAUGUUGUAUUUUCACUUCUCAGACUGUCUGUAUUCUGAUUUGCUCGCUAGGUGCUUGAUAAAAUGCCCAUCCGAGCAAACAAUUUGUCCUGUGCUACCUGAGAGAUGCAAGUUGGAUGUGGAGGACAAUCAUGUACGACCCUUAGGUCCUAUGGUUAAUCUGCUUAACCUGGGAGGUGGUCAUCAAGUUUGAGAUGGCAAGUGUAGGUGCUAUGUACUAUUUUCAAUGAACCAAUAAAAUGCAUUGGCUAUUUUCUACUCA
Molecule: long non-coding RNA, 2593 nt
Organism: Triticum dicoccoides
Lineage: Eukaryota; Viridiplantae; Streptophyta; Magnoliopsida; Poales; Poaceae
Exons: 2
Source: RefSeq, a predicted model, not a curated record